Bombus terrestris (buff-tailed bumblebee) is the source of this 2455-nucleotide long non-coding RNA. RefSeq lists it as uncharacterized. The record is from RefSeq and is a predicted model, not a curated record. The transcript has 2 exons. NCBI's taxonomy places the organism in Eukaryota, Metazoa, Arthropoda, Insecta, Hymenoptera, Apidae.
UUCUAUGAACUCGAUCUAUAACGAAUGCACUUCGUUUCUUGUUAACCAAGUUGUUCGUCAUAAGUUGAAGUGAGUUUUUAGUGCUGCAAUUACAAGCAUAUUAUGUAAAAUCCUAUCGUUAGAUCGUGUAGAUAAAAAUCAUUCAAUAACAUUACGCGUAUGAAAUAUAUUUCUUUCGUACUUAUUCAUAUAUCUCAGACAGACAUAAAAAUGCAUCUUCGAUUGUAAAAACAGACAAGCAAAUGCCACUGCUUGUUUUGACAUUAUACGUCUGCGUCUAUCCUAAUAAGAAUUUUUUAUUCUACACACAUUCUGCAUAUAAUAUCAUUUUUAUUGUAUAGAAACGUUUAUUUAUUAUUAAAUAAUACAAGCCAGUCGAAUUUUUUCUAAUAAUAUCGUCUAACAAUAAUAUCGUCACCUGUAAACGUUUUUACUGACAGCGAAUAAAAUAUCAUAUCUCAUAAUGAAUAACGUCCUGUUGCCUCUGCUACGCACAAUUAUGAGUUACACCACGUGAAAAAUCAAGGCAUUUAACACGUAUAAGAAACUCUUUAAUUCUUUUUUUAUAUCAGAGGUUGUCCAGUGACGUCGUUUAUCGUGCGGCAAAGGAAAUGAGGCCGCAAGGAAAGAAUAUGUGAUCAUUGCCUUGAUGCGGCAGCCUAAUUUUAAAUCACGGCUGAAAGAGUGAAAAUUGCUGUUCAACGAUAUUGUAAAUUCCUAUUGUGAGUUUCUGUUAGAAAGGAAAACGAACGUUUACGCAAUCGAGAGCAGGAUACUAAUAUCUAGAAAGAUGGUUGAAACCUCGAGUAAAGUCUGAAGUUCGUUUAUGAAAAAUUGUGCAAAUUGAGAAAGUUGCAAUGGAAAAUAGAUCUUUUCAGUCAGCAGAAUCGAAGAAGCAGAAAAUGAUAAAAAUAGGAAAUUUUACUUUCUCGGAUAAAGAAGCGUAAAAAAUUUCGCGCGAUCAUUUCCAUCAUUCCAGAUUUUUUGACGACGUCCUGAAAGCCGAUCUCCUUGUAUUCGUUAACCGAACAAAAAGAGACGAUUACUGAACGACGUAAUGGACUAUUUUAUCGAGUCGAGGAAAUUGUAAUCCUAUCUGAUUCAGAUUGGCUUCUUUCAGCCGAUUACGUAACCGCUUUUUACUUUCCUCACGAGGAUUAUUACCGGCGUAGAAAGAGCCAUGGAUUAGGAAUACUUUCCAUUUCACUGGCCAACCAUUUUGUCCACGAUCACUGAACAGAAGGAAGGUCGGUUCCGGAGAUAACGCAAUGUAACAGCGUCGAAAGUUUGCGGAGAAAUUAUUGAAAUUAAUCAGUUUGCCUCAAGUGUCUUGCCUGUUAUACUAUGCCUAAGCCUGUUUACUGGGUUGUUUUUUAACACUAGAACUAUCGCCGUGUAAUAUACGUUUAAAUAUAUCACAUACCUAGAUGAACGUAAUUCAAACGAAUAUGAUUUAAAUAAAAGUGAAGGUUAAUUUUAUAUUUCCGAUAAUUGCGAAAAGAAGAGAAAAAUCUGCGAUGUACCACUUUAACAAACUUGGUAAUUCUAAUGUCAGAAACACUGAAUUGUUCGUCGAAUCUCUAGAUAAAGAAAUUAUUAAGUUCAAGACGCUAUCAAACCAUUGAGACAAGAUUUUAACUUGUUUUUUCAUAUUCUGACAGACUAAUAAUAUAUUUGAUUGAGUUGAACAGAUUUCUGCCGAUUGCUUUCUUUUGUGGAAAAUUACGGUCGAGUUCGGUUCGUACAUGCGAAAACCGCAUGUGUAUCUAACGUGACAUCUAUAGAUUGUAUCAUCAGUGGUACGAUUGAUUGAGAGUCACUGGCAUAAGCGAUAACUGUUGUAAGAGUAAAGAAAGGCACGCAGUCAGACGGGUAUCGACGAAAUUCGGUGUUAGAAAACGGAACCUUGUGAAACAAUGGCACUGACACGUUUCGCGGUGAACGACAAGGUCGGCCGGUACGAUGGUAAACCAGUUUUCAUUUUCAAACGAUCGGUAUAGCUUACGAUGAAUAUAAAACGGCUUGUCCUCAACUGAGAAUCCUUCCGCUAUGAUUAACGCUUCGAUAGAUACGUCAAUUACAAAUCGUUCCGAACGUUUAUCGCUUGACAUCGCAUUUGUGGAGAACUCGAUACAGCUAGCGUCAAGCUGAACAUUAAUUAUUUGAAGUCGAUGUUUUUGUAGAUUGAUAAUUAACGUUUGAACUUUGCUUCAUCGUGAAAAUAAAUUCAUUGUAGAAAAAAGAAAGGGAAGAGGAAUUGUUCUUGUUAGAUCGAAUAGAUCGCAGUCUGAUUUUUUGGACGAAUACUGACAAGGUUAUGUCAUUGAAUUUGGACAUUUUUAUCAUCCUUCCUCGUCGUAUCGUGAAAAAUCGAAGCAGAAAAAUACGAGUAUACUUGGUGUUUUCUAUCAUACACGCACAGCACGUAACAUCGAACUUUACGAAUUCAAAGAAA